UCAUAUUUACAUCAAAUGCUAUUCAUUAUGAGAUUCCCUACAACUGAUUGUAGGUUUAAUUAACACAUUGUGUGUAGAGCUAGUCCUUUGCUUCUUCCAGUAAGCUUCUUUAUAUCUGCCCAUCCCUGUAUUCUAUGCAGUGACACAUCUGCGGUGGAGGCCUUGAGAAUAUGUAAAUCAGGUAUGAGGAGGCCCCUCCCCCCUAUGGAGAGACUGCUAGUCUAAUUAAAGGUUGCUUGGGCAUUAAAGGCACAGUUGUCCUUUGUUGUAUUAAAGGCAUAGUGGAUUUCCUUCAUCAUAAUAAAGGCACAUUUUUUUAUUUGUUAUGUUAAAGCUACAGUAAUCUUUGAUUGUACUAAAAUACAUCGUGGUUAAUCAUUUAUCAUCCCAUGUAAUGUACAUGAUGAUGAAUACAUGCACGUAUGGGUAGGCUAGGCUACUGUAGAUCUUUCAUCCAAUGCACGUAAGAUGUAUAAUCACUCAACAAGCAUUGUGAUCUUAUUCUUGUGUGUACAAACAAUUAAGCAUACAUUUUUUGGGGAUACGAAUUAAUGUUGCUCCAAAUGAAUGCUAUUUCCCUACAUGAUUUAGUGGGGUAUUAUCCCUAAAUCAAAAUAUCAUAGAAACAUAAUAUACCAUAUGAUGUCAGGUGGAACGUGUCUAUAGGCCUAUUUUUUUGUUGUUGUAAUUAAAUGAAAUCAUAAUUUAACAAUUGACAUUAUAUUUACCAUAUAGGAGGCAUUAGGCUGUUUGUAUUAUAAAUCACUCUCUCUUUGUAUCUGGUGUGGUUUUGUUUGGCUGCUAUAAAGGUUUCAUAAAAAGAUACCCUACUGUAAGGGAUGAUCUACACUGGCUUUUACAUUUCAUUAGUUACAGUAAAGGGACUUCAGGAUUUAGGGGAUAUUCGGUUAAACUGGAUAUUUUUACAUUUGGCAAAAAUUAAUCCCACAUUUUCCACUUUGCUGUCGCGUGUCUCGUGCAGCUAAACCCUACGCGCAUACAAGCCUGCAGCCCGCGCCUCUAAUGUGCUGCUGUUCCUUUAAAGAGGGCUCUGCAUUCUCUCCUCGUUUCUAUGCAAUUAUGUUAAUAUACAGAGCUUGUCUGGUGCUCUUCAUUAACGGCUGCAGUUGCAUCAUUGUUUCCUUCAUUUGUUAUCUCUGUAAAGCCAAUGAUUCAGUAACAGGCUAUAUUUUGGUGUUUUCUUCCUUACAAAUAUGUGGUCUUUAAUAGUGAUGGAUUAAGUAGGCCGUAUGUAAAGUAUUUUUUAUAAAUAUUAGCGUUUAUUUGUGGUUUUCUAUUGCAAAUGAUCCUAUCUCAAGGUCGUGCUUUGCAUCCGGUUUGUGUUGGACAUCGGUUUCUAAAUAGGCAGACAAGGUCCUACCUUCAUACAAAGCUGAAGGCAGCAGCGUCAGAACCUGACGACUACAGGGAGCCAGCUCAGAUCUGGGUCAUGCUGCCACCAGCACAAACCAGGAACAUACUGGAGCUUUUACACAUCUUCAUCUCCACCAAGGCUCCCAUGGAGGCAUAGAGAAACCUGAAGCCAAGAGGCACGGAGCUGCAUCCUAGCACCUGUCAUUCACACCCGAUUGGUUCAUGUUCAUGUUCUGUUUUCAACCUCUCUCUCAUAUUCUCUCCUCUCAUCAUGCCUCUCUAUAUCUGCCAUUAGCUGUUACUCUACCAUAUAAUAUGCACAUGUACUGUAUACCUUACUUACCAUAUAGUAGACAGCGUGUGCUGUUCACACUGCAGAGUUUCUGUGUGUAUCUCAGGCAGCCACUGCAGUGACAAGGGCACUGGAUCAACCUUUGACAAUAACAAAGACAUUUCCAAAUACAAUACAAUGCAAUAGUGAAAAAAAAACUACACAUAUCCAUUAAAACAAUACGCUUGAAUUCUCAUCACUAACAUUCAGCGACAAUUAAUUUGAUCAUUGUCGGGUUAUAGAAUAGUCAUGCCAAGGGUUCUUCUACAACAUUCAAAGGACAUGUUUAUUUGGAUUAGGCCUAGAGAAGAAUAGAGUGGUGAGAUAGAUGUGCUUGAUUUAGAUAAUGUCUCCAUUCUUCUUUUUUGGGAAUCGUUUGGACCAGAGCCUGCAUUACAGUUAUUGAUGAGGAGAUUCAGAUAGGCAGGCUGGAGGACACAAGGCUUUUGUUUUGAGUAGAGUAGAGGUGCAAUCAGCAUGCAGUUAGUGAAGAAAGGUGAAGCUACAAUAAAUAAGUAUAGAUGGAUAUUUUAAACAUAUAUUGAGAUUGAUUAGAAUAUGAAGUGUUCAAAUCAAGUGAGUUGAUAGUAGUUGUUCAUUUCCAUCAUCAACAACUAGCCUACUCUCAGUAUUAAAAUACCUGAGUAGGAAUUUAGAUAUCGGCCAACACUUGGGUAAUGUAAAGCUCACAAUAGACAUCAAUAGGAUGCGGUUUUGGUUAAGGACGAGAUUAUCAGAAUAGCGACUGGUGGGCCCUACGUCACUGGGUUGACCAGUGGAAAUUCUAAAUUGUCUGGUGACACACUUGAAUGGAGAGAUCUGUCCGGUCGUGGGAAAAGCUCGCUUGGACGUUUCACAAAUCCAGCGUAUAGCCUCCUCCUACUGAAUCAAACCAAUUAGCCAGGAGCGCGCUCCAGCCAUUGAGAGCCACUGUAGGCUCUGAGAGGAGUUGUUGGUUGAAUGAAAAUGCAUCCCCGGAUUUGGUUCUCCAAGAGAAGCUAUAGAAGUUGCCUUUUGAGGGACGGCUAUAGCACCGUGAAGGGCCAGGCAGAAAGUCCAAAUUGAGACACUUGAAUCAUUUGGGCGAUUAGGUGUGCACACAAUGCGUAAAAGUAUUGUGUGACUCACAUGGGAGGUAUAAUGCAUUUAAAAUCUACAAAAACCAUGAAUAUCUUAAGUGUUCUUCCUUUCUAGGUAACACAACUCAAUGUGAGAACACAACUACAUGUUUUUAUUCCUGAAAUGAUGCGUUUAUGUAAUGACAUGGAUCUCUUGACUUAAUAUCGAUUGAAAGAUAUCAUUAGCCUACGCUUAUUCAGAAUAUCAGUGGAAGGGGUAGGCAAAGCCUACAUAGCUCAUCUUAAUCAGGACAGCCUUUUUCAUAGGUGUUGGACUACAGUAGGCCUAAAUACGUCACAAGGGCUAA
Molecule: long non-coding RNA, 3131 nt
Organism: Oncorhynchus mykiss (rainbow trout)
Lineage: Eukaryota; Metazoa; Chordata; Actinopteri; Salmoniformes; Salmonidae
Source: RefSeq, a predicted model, not a curated record